CAGAGGCCCCGAGCGUUAGGCGGAAUCACUGGGCUUAAAGCGUGUGUAGGCGGGCCCGUAAGUGUCUUGUGAAAUCCCACGGCUCAACCGUGGAACUGCUGGGCAUACUGCGGGUCUUGGGCCAACUAGGGGCAGCCGGAACAAGCGGUGGAGCGGUGAAAUGCGUAGAUAUCGCUUGGAACGCCGAAGGUGAAAACAGGCUGCUGGGGUUGCGCCGACGCUGAGACACGAAAGCCAGGGGAGCAAACGGGAUUAGAUACCCCGGUAGUCCUGGCCCUAAACGAUGUCCACUAGAUCGCGGUGCGGUUUGACCCGCUCGCGGUCGGAGCAAAAGUGUUAAGUGGACCGCCUGGGAAGUACGGUCGCAAGGCUA
This 373-nucleotide ribosomal RNA is filed under the name uncultured organism. RNAcentral describes it as "bacterial SSU rRNA". It matches the Rfam family "Bacterial small subunit ribosomal RNA", at positions 526 to 896 of the family's 1533-position model. The record is from RNAcentral.